Molecule: long non-coding RNA, 3325 nt
Filed under: Triticum aestivum (bread wheat)
Lineage: Eukaryota; Viridiplantae; Streptophyta; Magnoliopsida; Poales; Poaceae
Description: long non-coding RNA (TAES_LNC014630)
Source: RNAcentral
CUUUCCCCACCUUUUCCCCCACCGCCCCCUUCUCAUCCGCUCUAAAUCGGGAUCGAUACCUCAUGUGGUGACCACUGCCUUUUCGUCGUUGCCGCGGCCACCGUCGUCGCCGUCGCUCGGUAGUAUGUCCAGGGGAACUGCCAUGGUCAUCUUCGUCCGUCCCGGGCGUCGGUUCAAACAGGGACGCCGCGAGGCCGUCGCCAUCGCUAUCAUCUCCGUUUGGCCGCCGCCAUCUCGCCGACGACCUGCGAUGUUUUAACCGUCCCCAGCCUCCGCGAGCUCGCCUACGACCUCUCUGUGAGCCACUCUUCCGAACCCCCCUGUCCCCGUUAUUGAUUAGUUGCCGUAGACGUCGUCCGCGACCUCCAUGACUGCGCCUGUAACUCUGCUUCCGGGCAAUGCCCGCCCGCGUAUGGCCACGCCCUGCUGCGGUGCUUGCACGCCCGCUCCCGUUCCUUCUGCCGCUGCCGCACUAACCCACUGCCGCACGCCCCACGCCAGCUUGCUGCUGCCGCCUGCGCCCGCGCGCGCUCGGGCGCCCCAGACCGCGUCGUCGCCCGAGCUGCCGUGUUGCUUCGGUGCUGUGCUGCUCCUUGCGCUGUUGCUGCUCACUACUUGGCCACUGCUUGCUGCUGCCGCUACCUGCUCCUCUGUGUGCCUGCUACUGCCCUGCUCUGUUGUGUCGUUGUUGUUGCUUGCUACUGCUGCCCGUUGCGCUGCCUUGUAAACUGCCAUCGCUGCUGCUCUAUGUCCGUGGCCGUGUGUGUGCGUAGGUGUUGUGUGUGGCCGGUCUAUUUAGGCUAAUGCUUGAUUAGUUGUAGGGUUUAAUUAGUGGCUAGUUUAGCCUAUGUGCAAAUGACAUGUGGGUCCAUUUUAAUUAUGUUAGUUUUAUUUAAUUGUUUAGGUUCAGCCAAUGACAUAUGGGUCACCCCCUCCCCUUUUGACCAGUCAACUUGACUUGGUCAACCUGAAUUAAAACAAAAUCAAAAUUUUCUUAAAGUCAUUAAAACUUUGGAAAAUCAUAAAAAAAUAUCUAUAACUCGGAUGAAAAUGUUUUAUAUAUGAAAUUUGCUCAGAAAAAUCCAACGAAUCCGAAUACGCGGUCCUUUCACCUGUCACAUGCCCCUAGCAUGCUGAACAUGGAGCCAUUCCCUCUCUUUCAUCUGUCGUAAUUCGUCUAACGCCAGGGAUUCAUCCUCGGAUGUUUAUCCCCUCUGCCUGCGACGUAUAGUACUACGUUAGGACAACCCUAGCUCUGCCUAUCAUCUUGUUAUGCCUUGUGAUGCAUUGUUUGCUCUAUAUUUACUGUUUCUUCCCCCUCUUCUCUCCGGUAGACCUCGAGACCGAUGCCGCCCCUGUGAUCGACUACGUCGACGACGACCCCCUCCUUGCCAGAGCAACCAGGCAAGCAAACCCUCCUUGAGCAUUCUAAUAUCGCCCAUUUCUUUCCCUCUCAUGCUUGCAUUAGAACUGCUACUGCUUUGUGUAUGAUCCUACUCUGAUGCAUAGCAUGUUGUUACCUGCUUUUAUACCUUACCUUCUUAUCCUAAACUGCUUAGUAUAGGUUGGUUAGUGAUCCAUCAGUGACCCCCACCUUGUCCCAUUUGCCCCGCUUUAUGUUCAAUGACUCGAUCAACGUGAUCGACGUCCAGGCCCCGACACCGCACAUCACCCCCUAGUUGUAUGACUCUGUAGAGUUACCAUCGAGUGCCGAGGGUGGAACCUCUUACAUCACUCCUGAUGAGAUCUCAGUAGUGUAGCUAUACGGCCGAGGUCAUCGAGGGUGAUUUCCACCUUAACCACUUCCGUUACGGCUCUGUCGUGCAACCCCUCAAGUGUGAACCUCGAGGGUGGAUCCUCUUACGUUCACCUUGAUGAUAACAUCGAGUGGAAUUCACCGAGGGUGAUUCCUCGGGUUUUCACCUUGGUGUUGGACACACAGUUACUAUGGUUACUAUGACUUUACACUGAACCAUGUUACUAAAGACGGGUCGGCUCUGAAGGGUACCCGCGCGAGCUAAAUAGCAAGUGAUGUGGAGUCGGGUUGACCUGGAAGGUGCCCGCGAGAUACUUACGAUGUGUGGCCGGGCAUUCUAAGCCCUUGUCGCAAGUACUCGAGACGGGGCGAUGGGGUCACAUCGAUCAUGAGUCUUUGCUCGUUACCGCGCUUUCCUAAUCCACUACGAUUUGGAUAUUUCAUCCGAGGGGCCUCUGGCCUGAUAGCACUAACCAUCACGUGGGCAUAGUAUGGGCGUUCUGCGUCGUAUACAUCAGCCGAAGCUUAAUAAACGUCAGCGACUGAGCGGCGCGCGCCGGGUUGGACUGGUAAGCACCUACCUUGUUGAAGGAGGUAGCUAGGUCUGCUCACCGGCCGCGUACGCAACGUGUAGGAGUUCCCGGGGAGAUGGCCCAUGACCCUUGGGGGCAUAGGUUUAGUCUGGCGUGCUGGCCUCUCUAUUAAGCCUAGGUCGGGUUGCGGCGUAUUGUUUGGCUGAGGCCGGGCAUGACCCAGGAAAGUGUGUCCGGACGAAGUUAAUCGAGCGUUGUGGGUAAGUUGGUGCACCCCUGCAGGGAAGAAAACGUCUAUUGAUAGCUUGUCCUACGGUAACGGACACUUGGAGUUGUAUCCCGAUCGAUACAACUAGAACUGGAUACUUGUGAUGAGAAAUGGAUGGUGAUGAGAAAUGGAUAGUAUGGCUCUGGGGUUGCUUUCUCACGGGGAGUCGAGAAAGGAUCUCUGGCCGAGGUUGAUAACUCUACUUCUACUUUACUUUAUGUUACUCUACUCCCUCCUAUUGCUGCAAGAUGGUGGUUUCCAGAAGAUGCUAUUCUUCGAUAGGCUAGGCUUUCCCCUUCCCUUCUGGCAUUCUGCAGUUUAGUCCACAGAUACAACCCAUUCCUUUGAUACAGAUACAUACUUAGUUUAGAUCUGAUGUAAGUCUUGCGAGUACUUUGGAUGAGUACUCACGUUUGCUUUGCUACUUCUUUUCCCCCAUACCCGAUUGUUGCGACCAGAUGACGGAGCCCAGGAGCCAGACGACGCCAUUGAUGACUACUACUACCCGGAGGAUGCCUACUACUACGUGAAGACCGCCGCCGACUAGGAGUAGUUAGGAGGCUCCCACGCAGGAGGCCUUGCCUUUUUGAUCGUUGUUGCUUUUGUGCUAGCCUUCUUAAGGCAAACUUGUUUAACUCAUGUCUGUUCUCAGAUAAUGUUGCUUCCGCUGACUCUUUUGUUUUCGAGCUGAUGUAUUCGAGCCCUCGAGGCCCCUGGCUUGUAAAAUAAAGCUUGCAUUAUUUUAAUUUUUUCUAGAGUUGUGUUGUG